RNAcentral lists this ribosomal RNA (117 nucleotides) under Periophthalmus magnuspinnatus. The record is from RNAcentral. Lineage: Eukaryota; Metazoa; Chordata; Actinopteri; Gobiiformes; Gobiidae.
CAAUGGCCAAACUUCCUUGACAAAAGCCUGAUCUCGUCAGAUCUCAGAAGCAAAGCUGGGCUGGGCCUGAUUAGUAUUUGGAUGGCAGACUGCUGGAAAUACCAGGUGAUACAGUGG